CCGGCUGAAAAUAAUCCGCCGAGUAUAUUAGUGUCGGUAGUGUUUCAAACGCGCCAAAGGUCAUGAGCGCGCACUGCGGCCGAUCAGGGCGAUCGAAGCGGGUGCAAAUCAAACAUUCGCUAGCAUUUGUUUCAGACGUUUCACGCGAACUAACUACCGCGCGAGUAGGAGUUUCGUGUGCUUAUUGGGAGAGACCGAGGGCGUACGCUCACUGCGCUACCGCUGUUGACGUACACAUCACAGAAACGAGUCGAACGAAACGGCUACGUAUCGAAUUAUGACAUCACGGCACCUCCACAAACAAAACCAACGCUAGCGGCUAGCUGACGGUCCGCAAGAGUAGACUACGGACACAGCAUGACUAAUAAAAGCGCACAACACGAGUACAACAAGACGCGAUUGGAAGUGCACGCACGCAGCAGGAGUAGGAGUGGGAGGUGAAAGUUUACGCUUGCAGGAAAUAGUGCGAGAUAUGAGUAUACACAUGCGAUGAAAGGAGAUGGGUGUUGAGUGAAGUGAGUGAGUGAAACAAAUGGUAAAUAGAGCUUUGCUUGUUCGGCGCAUGUUGAUGCAGCUGCGCCCUGCGCCGGCAGUGCACUGCAGUUUAACAUAACCAAAAAAAGCAAACAAACAAAACUUGUUUAGGUUUAAAAAUAAGCAAGUUGUGUUAACGUAACAUAACCUCAAAAUUAUUUAAAAUAUAUACUCACCGGCAUUUUUGAUGUUUUCCUUGUUUUCGGCCAAUAGUGACGGACUCAUUACUGAGCCGAAUUGAGUAUAAUUGAAGCAUUUUCACAAAGUAGCAAUUGCGUUGCCAUAGCAACAACAAACAAGACAAUAGUCGCACACAAUGGAAACAAUGCAAAAUUUCGCGGUGCAAUUUAAGCAAAUUGCAAAUUAUUAUUAAAAGAGCUGGCGAUUGGAAUUGUUUCAAAAUAGGAAAUUCAAAUUUAAAUAAUGUAAGUGUGAAAUAUUACCAAAAAUAUUCCGUUAAUUCUUAUCUAAUCAAUAUGUAAAAUAUUAUUACAUUAUUAUAAUAUCCACCCAUGGUAACAUAUCGUUUGAAAACACUAGUAACAAACUCCAUAAUAUUGCGCAUUACAAAACUGACAAUUGUAAAACACACGAAAACACAAAGCGUAGUGAGCACGCAACUUUUCGCGGUGGUUGCCGAUUGCGAACUUUGCCAAAAUACAGUUUGGCCUGACGGCGACAGCGUCGACGCAUCCUGGGUUAAUUUUAGCUGCGCUUCAGACGCCGCAGCCGCCUCGACCCUGAUCAUGAGCGCGGAAAAUUUGUCAACUGGCAGGAAAUCGGAACAGCAAAAGAAAUAAAACGCAACACGCGCGCACAGACAGCACGGAGGCGGCAAGAGACACCUAGGUGCAGCAGUACGUGCACGUGCAGAUGGUAAACUUGAACUAGAUGCGCAUUAGAAGAGUGUUGGACGCGUGCCUACUGGAGAUUUUCCUCAAGAGUAUAAAUAGAUGAAAAACACAAGACUAAAAAUAAUUCCAUGGCGGACAAUAUCAUCUACUACCACAAUUAAUGCCUAAAACACGAAGGAAAUAAAAUGGUUAAAAAUA
This is a long non-coding RNA of Dalotia coriaria, 1586 nucleotides long. RefSeq lists it as uncharacterized. Lineage: Eukaryota; Metazoa; Arthropoda; Insecta; Coleoptera; Staphylinidae. The transcript is spliced from 2 exons. The record is from RefSeq and is a predicted model, not a curated record.